Non-coding RNA from Equus caballus (horse), 1058 nucleotides. Lineage: Eukaryota; Metazoa; Chordata; Mammalia; Perissodactyla; Equidae. The record is from RefSeq and is a predicted model, not a curated record.
GAGGUUGCUCACAUUCAUUGAGUUUCAGGCUGUGCUUCAUACUUUACAGUCAUUUUGACCCCGUUUGGAGGGUUCCUGGAAUUUUCACAUCCCUUGUCCAGAGUUCGUUCUUUAAUUAACGUUGCCUUGCCUGGGGGUAACUCUGUAACAGCUGCUGCUGGCGCACCCCACUAAUAAUAAUGAUAAACACCCACCGCUCACUGAAUAUCCGCUUUGGGCUAGGGUCCUGUCCUCAGACCUUUAACACACGUUGUUUCAUUAAAUCCUCAUAACACCCCGGGAGGUAUGUUUUCUACUCCCGUUUGCAGAUGAGAAAAGGAAGCUCAGAGAGGUGAAGUCACCUGCUUGAGGACACUCAGUUAGGGACUGGUAGAGCUGGGAUUCCAACUCGGUGGACUCCAACGCCAGUGCCCAACCCACUAUGCUAAACAGCCUGCCUUGCAUCCCCCCCUACUUAACGUGACAAAUGGGAGACUCAGAGCAGCUGACUGACAUGGGUGUGUCACACAGCUAAGUGGGGCACAAGGACUCGAACUUGGAUCUUUCCACUCCCAGGCCUGAAGAAGACAGCGAGGACGACACUUUGACCUGGGCUGAGCGCGCAUAUUACCAGUGCGACCACGGAUGGCGCCCUGAAUUCCCGCAGACCGGCAGCACGCCCCAGAGGGCAUCCGCUCCCGACGCGGAAGAGAACUGGACCUGCACCAUCCUCUGAGCGCCGGCGCAGCGUGGAGGAGAGGACUCCAGAGUCGGGGGGGCCAGCCCCCUCAUUUCCUGGGCGGGAUCUUAUCGGCUGUGACUUGGCAUCAGUCCUAGGACCAGAAUCCGGGUCUCCUGACCCCUCUUCCUGCUGUUCCCCUCUUUCUCGCCCUCCCUAGGUAGCGCUGCCCGCAGCCUCAUCCCGCCACAGCCUGUUUUCUGACAAUAUUCUCUGAGAGGCAACAGUUGAGGUUUAGACAAAAGAGUGGAAACUCAGCCUUGACUUUCUUCUGUGUGCCUGGUGAGAAGGUUAUGGUCCAAUUUAUUAUCAAUAACAAUAAAAAUAAUAGCAGAUACCA